RNAcentral lists this long non-coding RNA (312 nucleotides) under Elaeis guineensis (African oil palm). Its description in RNAcentral is "long non-coding RNA (EGUI_LNC066506)". The record is from RNAcentral. Lineage: Eukaryota; Viridiplantae; Streptophyta; Magnoliopsida; Arecales; Arecaceae.
UGAGGCAUUUUGAAUCCACUCGGAACUGGUUCCCUCAAAAUGAUUUGGGAGAAAGGUGGUUGGGAGUUGAAAUUGAUGCCAUCGCUACCCUAGGUGAGCCCCAUUCUAGAUCUCAUCGAGGUGAUGCUCGAUAUCUUAGACUUUAUUCUCGAGCUCCUCCUCCCAGUGUGACUUCCUGGAUCUAGGAGAGUAGCCCAAAGUAGAAUACCUAUCGGAGGAGAAGCUCCACAGCCAGGUCUCCUCCCUUAGGCUCCAAUGGGAGGAGGUCCGAGAUGCGGGAGCAGGGAUAGAAUGGGAGUACUGUCGAGGGGC